This is a non-coding RNA of Ciona intestinalis (vase tunicate), 2003 nucleotides long. Lineage: Eukaryota; Metazoa; Chordata; Ascidiacea; Phlebobranchia; Cionidae. The record is from RefSeq and is a predicted model, not a curated record.
GGUAUCUUAGCAAUCAACAGCUGUUUGUUGAUUUCAUUGGUAAUUUUACACCGAGUCCGCAACGUUUGAGAAAAAAAUCUUAUUUUCGAUUCCCAUUACAGUUUUACUUUUAUUAUUCGUACGUUCUCGAUUUGUUUGUCCCUUUUUAACUUUUUUCAAGCGUAAAGUUGGUAGAGCUGUAUAAGAUUCGUUUACUUUUACGUUGUAAUGCGAAGCAGUGAGCGUCGGCGUAAAAAGGAACUGAACCAUGGACCAAGUUACAACAGAUUACAUGGAGCACCUCCAAGUGCUCGGUUAAGAGCAAGCGCAUCUUCGCCAUCGUUUUCAGGGACACGACCCAGAGUUCGAUUUGACGAGGGACCUCACGAAGUUCGUACUAUUGAUUCACAACAACAACCAAAAUCAACGUUUGUGAAUUUCUUCGGAGAUCAUAGAGCGCCCUCAAGUGAUGUAGAGUUGGAGGAAGUAAUGCGGCAUUAUGGGAUUAAUGAUGCCGAUUCAAAUAACAUUCCAUCCUCUUCACCACUACCUAAACCAACUCCAUCAAAUGAACAUAACCAAAGGCUUGCAUCUGUUGCUGUGAGUGUUUCAAGUGGUCUCGGAAACUUUCUACUUGCUUUCCCAUGUCAGGUUCUCAGACGGCAGUGCCAGAUUAACCAUGUGGGAAGGAAAUAUCAUCUCACACCUUUCACCAUUAUAAGUGUUGCAGCAAACCUACAGAGAGCUCAGGGAGUAACUUGCCUUUGGAAAGGCAUAGGUAGCAGUCUUUGGUUAAACGCAAUCGAAAUCAGCAGCGAGUCAAUUGUGAGUGAAGUAUCAUCUGGUAAACUACCAAAGGAUGUUGGUUCCAAUGCAUCGAUUAAAAGGCUUUCCUCUCAUCUGGUAUUGAAGCUUAUCUCAUCUGUUUUAGUGUCACCGUUUUUCUCAGCACAUCUGGUUGAAAGUGUGCAGAGUGAAAUAACUUCAGAAACACCAGGAAUAUUCUCAUGUUUAACUGACGGGGUUUUUCGCUUGUUUGGUGUUGGAAGAGUGCAGAGUCCAUUGUUGGUCCCGUUUCGACGUCUCAUUCUCCCCACUGUGUUAUACUCACUACUGCGAUAUGUCUUAUCAGCUUCACUUCAGCAACUUGUCCUCUACCUUAUGAGGUUGCAUUCCAGGCGUCAGCAUGAAAAGCGGUUAGCAAGGCUACAACCCCGGUCUCCUGUAUUUCAAACAGAAGAACCUCUCAUCAACCCGGCAAUAACACCUGAUAGGAAUUCCCCUUCUUCACUACUAACUGAACAUUACCCAGAAUUGGUGUCCGGGUUCGUGGCAGAUAUGAUUUCCGACAUAAUGUUGUAUCCAAUGGAAACAGUGCUACACAGACUGCAUAUACAGGGCACACGUACCAUCAUUGAUAACACAGACACGGGUCGCGGCUUCAUGCCUGUAAGCUCGAGACAUGAAGGUUUCUUUGACUGUUGGUCAACCACUGUUACACAUGAAGGUUACAUGGGUCUAUACCGGGGCUUUGGGGCGUUAACAAUGCAAUAUUCAUUAAGAUACGCAGUUUUAAGACUAACUAAACUUAUUCUGCAAGUUGCUUCUGGUUGUUGAUUGUAAAUGAUGUAAAUGACUCCCAUUUGUUAUUAAAGUAACAUUUUCAUUUAUUACUUAUAAAUAUUAAUGGUUAUAACUAGCUUGGCUGAUAAAAAAUAUAAACCAAUUUUUUAUAAGAUAUAUCUGGUCGGGACUGCUAUUUCUUGCAAAAAAUGUUGCGUUUGUACAGUAAGAAUGCAGUUAUUUAAAAAGUGCUCAACUUUUGGAAAAAAAUUGUUUUUUUCUUUAAAAUAUUUCUCUUAAUAUCUUGCUAUGAUAUGCUCUUCUGUGCCUCUUCAUUCAUUUGCUUGAAUACUUGUCUUAGUUUGCUUGUGAUGGAUUGUUAAUACCUGAUUGUUAUUCACUAUGCUUGGUGUUAAAUACAACUCGUAACGAUAAAAGCAAUUAUACCUUGGUUUCGUAAA